UUUCCGUAGGUGAACCUGCGGAAGGAUCAUUACCGAGUGAGGGCCCUCUGGGUCCAACCUCCCACCCGUGUUUAUCGUACCUUGUUGCUUCGGCGGGCCCGCCUCACGGCCGCCGGGGGGCACCCGCCCCCGGGCCCGCGCCCGCCGAAGACAAUCUUGAACUCUGUCUGAAGAAUGCAGUCUGAGCGAUAAGCAAAAUUAGUUAAAACUUUCAACAACGGAUCUCUUGGUUCCG
This 235-nucleotide unclassified non-coding RNA is filed under the name soil metagenome. RNAcentral's name for it is "partial contains small subunit ribosomal RNA, internal transcribed spacer 1, and 5.8S ribosomal RNA". The record is from RNAcentral.